Molecule: small nucleolar RNA, 107 nt
Organism: Coffea arabica (coffee)
Lineage: Eukaryota; Viridiplantae; Streptophyta; Magnoliopsida; Gentianales; Rubiaceae
Source: RefSeq, a predicted model, not a curated record
UAUUGAUGAUAAGGGCAUUGAGCAAGUAAUAGCUUGAAUUGCUCCCAAGCUUCAUAAAUUGGCUCCCCUUCCAUUAUAGUUAAGGUGCAAAUCUCAUUCCUCAAAUC